This 64-nucleotide transfer RNA is filed under the name Cucujus clavipes (red flat bark beetle). RNAcentral describes it as "tRNA-Leu". It matches the Rfam family "tRNA". From Rfam's summary of the family: Transfer RNA (tRNA) molecules are approximately 80 nucleotides in length. The record is from RNAcentral. Lineage: Eukaryota; Metazoa; Arthropoda; Insecta; Coleoptera; Cucujidae.
UCUAAUAUGGCAGAAUAGUGCAUUGGAUUUAAACCCCAAAAAUAAAGUUAAUCUUUUUUUAGAA